GCCUGGCUGGCUCAGUCAGUAGAGCUCAUGACUCUUGAUCUCAGGGUUGUGAGUUUGAGACCCACGCUGGGUA
Molecule: transfer RNA, 73 nt
Filed under: Felis catus (domestic cat)
Lineage: Eukaryota; Metazoa; Chordata; Mammalia; Carnivora; Felidae
Rfam family: tRNA
About the family: Transfer RNA (tRNA) molecules are approximately 80 nucleotides in length. Their secondary structure includes four short double-helical elements and three loops (D, anti-codon, and T loops).
Source: Rfam by way of RNAcentral